CUGACCCUUUAAGGGUCCUGAAGGAACGUUGAAGACGACGACGUUGAUAGGCCGGGUGUGUAAGCGCAGCGAUGCGUUGAGCUAACCGGUACUAAUGAACCGUGAGGCUUAACCUUACAACGCCGAAGCUGUU
Molecule: ribosomal RNA, 133 nt
Filed under: Escherichia coli
Lineage: Bacteria; Pseudomonadati; Pseudomonadota; Gammaproteobacteria; Enterobacterales; Enterobacteriaceae
Description: partial 23S ribosomal RNA
Rfam family: Bacterial large subunit ribosomal RNA (bases 1-116)
Source: RNAcentral